Molecule: long non-coding RNA, 1662 nt
Organism: Musa acuminata AAA Group (dessert banana)
Lineage: Eukaryota; Viridiplantae; Streptophyta; Magnoliopsida; Zingiberales; Musaceae
Exons: 2
Source: RefSeq, a predicted model, not a curated record
AAUAAUGUUGAAGAAAAGAGAGGGAAAGAAUCUAAAUAAACAACAAAAAUUUGAUGGAGAGAAAAUUCUAGCUUCUACUUUCCAGCAGGACUUCAUCUCUCCAAACCAUUCAAAGCAUAUGAAGAACAAAAGAAGGGAUAACCUUUACAUUAUCCUUCAUUUCAUUCAAGAGAGAGAGAGAGAGAGAGAGAGAGAUUCUUCAUCUUUGGUACUGAAGUAAAGAGAAGACUUUAGGACACAGUGUGGGGCCAUGUCAGAGAGGCCCAAGAACAAGGGCAUGGAGAUCACUUCUUUGGAUGGGUGAAGGGAUCAAGAAAGAGACAAUGGGAUCAGAGGAAAAUGAAAGGUGGCCAGGGGAGAGGAACCUUAACAUCUGUCCUCCCAAAAGAGCAGAAAUAUGCCUCACAAUAGCAUCAGCAUCCCCCACCACUCAUGCAUGGGGUGAGUACCAGUUGAAACUUCAACAUGGAAUGCAGUGUCUCCACCCCAAAAGUCUCACGCUUCUUCCUUCUUCCCUCAUCUUCCACAGAUAAAUAUGAAUCACGCAUAGCGACAUGAGCAGCGUCAGUCCAUCUCAGCAUCACAGAAACUGCCUUCUCCUUGGGAGCGUACAUCUCAUCAGACCUUUCCUGGCAUGACCAACCUUCUCCUGUUACUCCUUGGCUUGUUUGCAGCACAAGAGCAAGAGAGAAACCAUGCACUGAUAGUUGAUUCUUCUUCCUCUUCUUCCUGAUGGAUUUUAAAGUGAAGGACCAUUCGAGCAGGACAGUACCUCAUGCAGUUGUUCCUAAGAGAUGCCAGACACAAGCUGGAGAGAAAGCAGAAAGAUUAGGAUAGCUUUUGAUGUUAAACAUGUAAAAGAUAUCUUGGUUUCCAACAUGUCUUUGAGAGAACAUAGCGCUCGCUGUUGUUAUUUUCUGUGAACAAGGGUUCCUGGAGAUACCAUUAUGACUUUCUGCUGGAUCGAGAUCAUAGUUCCAGAGUUUCCACUGCAAAGUCUGAUCCAGUUCUCUAAAAGGAGUUGAUGGCAUGUUUGUUGCCGUCUCAGGAAGCCAAACAUCUGAGUCUGCCACCGGGCUUACUGGUUUGAGCAUCAGCAUCAGCAAAAACCAACUUGGCAGAGUCCAUCAACCCAGACAGAUUCAACAGUUUGUGAUCUGAAAGCUAUGCCGAUGAAAGCGUCUAAGAAAUCGUAGAUCAGUUGUUUGAUAGGCCGUAUAUCGAAGCGUCGAGCUCUCAGACAAGGAACUCGAAAGCAACAAACAGAUUGAUAUGAAAGCUGUCGGAGAUGGUUCGAUCGAAGGCAGGAGGAGGAGGAACAGAAUAGUGAGCGGUGCGAGACCGCUGCAACAGACAAACUAUGGAGCCACUUCUUCGAACUAUUUCAGCAUGGAGUCAUUCCUCAUCCUUAUCUGCCUCACCAUGUCGCUGUUGAUACUUCCUCUCGUCCUGCCUCCGCUGCCCCCUCCACCUUCCAUGCUAUUGUUGCUUCCCGUAGCCAUACUAGUCUUACUCAUGAUCCUUGCUUUUAUGCCCUCGGACAUCAGCAACAUGGCCUCCCCUUAUCUGUAGAUAAGCAAGCUGUGAAUUAGCACAAGAUAUAUAAGAUAAUGAAGCCUUUUGUGUGGUUAGCUUCAACACUAGGCUACAUUGGAUAUUGCA